Long non-coding RNA from Anolis carolinensis (green anole), 2087 nucleotides. The record is from Ensembl. NCBI's taxonomy places the organism in Eukaryota, Metazoa, Chordata, Lepidosauria, Squamata, Anolidae.
UGUGGCCAGCAUGACUGCAUGCAGUACCGUUACAUUCCCACAGAAGUGGUAUUUAUUUAUUUAUUUAUUUAUUUAUUUACAGCAUUUAUAUUCCGCCCUUCUUUCUCACCCCGAAGGGGACUCAGGGCGGAUCACAUUGCACACAUAAAGGCAAACAUUCAAUGCCAUGACAUAGAACAGAGACAGAGACAAGACGCAGGCACCGGGCUGGCCUCGAACUCAUGACCUCUUGGUCAGAGUGAUUUGUUGAUUUGUUGCAGCUGGCUUGCUUUCCAGCCUGCGCCACAGCCUGGUUACACUCAUAAUGCAGUAUUGCAACACCACCACUCUUGGGAAAAUGAAUUAAUUAUGACUAAUUAAUAACUAGAAGAAUUUGCAACUAGUUAUAAAUAAGUUCAGUCUACUGUUUCAAUUAGUUCUGGCUAAAUCUCAAUAUCUUAUCUUUUUUUAAAGUAAACCACUAAAUUUCUAUUUUCAUUUCACAUCUGUUCCUUUUAUUAUUCUGUUAGUUUUAUCUUAUUUCUCAUACAGAAGAUCAGAGAGUGUUUUUUUUAAAAGAAAAAGGCCUUAUUUUAGUUCAAGUAAAGGAUGCCAAUCAUGAAGAGUUAAAAAAAACACUGUGCAAAAUGAUGUUUAAACUUCCAGGAAACAGUAGACAAACUGACUAAUGUUUCUGAGUCCUGGAAAAAAAUAGAACGUAUGCAAUCUAACUUUUGCUUUCAGCAGAUUCUAACACAACCUAUAGCAUAAACAAACAAAAAGCACUUUAUUUUAGGUUCCAUUACUAAUGCUCCAAUUUGUAUUUUCAUAGUCUAUUGAACUUUAAGUGAGACAUUACAGAGGAUGUGAGUUUUUUAGGUCUUUCGAUAUUCAGUGAAAAUUACAGUGGCCCUGCCAAUGCAGAGGACUUAGUAUUUUAAGGUGUUCUAUUGGAUAUAAGUGGAUGGGACCACAGGACAGCACUGGUUUCUCAGCAACUUUUCUCCACUAACUGCUGCCUCUUCCUUCUACUUUUACUUCCAAGCUUGCCAGUUAGCAAGGGGAGGCAAGGUGGAUACUAGUAGGAACAGUUGGGGAAAAAACAAGCAGAGGAUGUUGUAUUUUAGUGUAUUUACAAUGCUCUUUUAAUGUUAAAUUUUCCUUUUAUACUUUUAUUUCAGUGUAAAAAUCGACUCUCCAUGCUGUAUUAGCCAAGAUGUGUUAAAGGUGUGUGACGCAGCUGGUUAGUAGCCAGCUGCAAUAAAUCACUACUGACUGAGAGGUAAUAGGAUGGAAGCACGGGUCAGAUUGAACUCCCAACCACUAAUAGCCUAGCUCGCUGCCCACUUAAGCAGUUUGAAAAACAGUUGCAUCUGUUGAGUAGAAAAUUCUAGAUACCGCUUAUGUGGGGAGGCUAAUUUAACUAAUUUACGACACCAUAAAAACUGUCAGCAGUGUGCGGAAAGGAAUGAGGAAGUACUACCAUCAAAAGGACUCAGUGUCACAGUGGACGAUGAAGUGGCAGCUCCCCCUGUGGCCGGAAUCGAGCAUACCCUCAUGAAGCCGGAAGCUGGAAAAAUGUUAAAAUUGCCUCUGUGUCUGUCUAUAUGUUGUAUGUCUAAUAAUGGCAUUGAAUAUUUGCCAUGUAUAUGUGCAUUGUAAUCCACUCUGAGUCCCCUUCUGGGUGAGAAGGGCGGAAUAUAAAUACUGUAAAUAAAUAAAUAGAAUGGGCUAAACUGCAUCCUCUAUCUUCUCUAGUGAAUCCUUAAGGUUCCAGAAGGAUCAAAAGAUACUUAAACUCUUUCUAUGGCCAAAUGUAACCCGAAACUCUUUUUCGCCAUAUUUCUCUGCUGGAAAGGAUGGAGUGGCACCUAUGAAAGGCAACAGAUUUACCCUGAUUCCCAGACAUGAAUUUUUUGUCACCAAGCAGAGUGACAAAGAGACUUCGAAGCAAAUGCAAGCACUUGAAAAAGGCAAUAAAUAAGAAGCAAGUCUUGUGUUCCUUUCUGAAACUACAGUGUCAGACAGUGCCAAGUAAGGGAUGAAGCGAAACUGACAGUGCCAAUGCUGAGAAAUUACCAUAAAAAUAAAUAAAUCUACAGCCUCUG